UGAGUACGAGAUGCUACGGCAUCGAAGCAGUCUAUGUCAUACUUCCAAGAAAAGCUUGCACUGUCAGAAACAGAUAAUGCCUGUACCAUAACCGACACAGGUGGGUAGGUAGAGUAUACUAAGGGGCGCGAGAUAACUCUCUCUAAGGAACUCGGCAAAAUGACUCCGUAACUUCGGGAGAAGGAGUGCCUUAUUUUUAAGGUUGCAAUAACAAGAUCCAAGCAACUGUUUACCAAAAACACAGGUCUCCGCUAAGUCGUAAGACGAUGUAUGGGGGCUGACGCCUGCCCAGUGCCAGAAGGUUAAAGAAGUCGGUUAGCAUUCGCGAAGCUGGUAACUGAAGCCCUGGUGAACGGCGGCCGUAACUAUAACGGUCCUAAGGUAGCGAAAUUCCUUGUCGGGUAAGUUCCGACCCGCACGAAAGGCGUAAUGAUUUGGAUACUGUCUCGGAGAGGGGCUCGGUGAAAUAGACUUGUCUGUGAAGAUGCGGACUACCUGCACCUGGACAGAAAGACCCUAUGAAGCUUUACUGUAACUUGAAAUUGAAAUUGGACUUUAUUUGCGCAGUAUAGGUGGGAGGCGUUGAAAAUAUUCUUGCGGGAAUAUUGGAGCCAUCAGUGAGAUACCACUCUUGUAAUGUUAGAUUUCUAACUUUAUAUCAUUAUCUGGUUAAAGAACAGUUUCAGGCGGGCAGUUUGACUGGGGCGGUCGCCUCCCAAAUGGUAACGGAGGCGCACAAAGGUUUCCUCUGAACGGGUAGAAAUCGUAUCUAGAGUGUAAAGGCAUAAGGAAGCUUGACUGUGAGACCUACAAGUCGAGCAGGGACGAAAGUCGGUCUUAGUGAUCUGACGGUGCUGAGUGGAAAGGCCGUCACUCAACGGAUAAAAGUUACUCUAGGAUAACAGGCUGAUCUCCCCCAAGAGUUCACAUCGACGGGGAGGUUUGGCACCUCGAUGUCGGCUCAUCGCAUCCUGGGGCGGUAGUACGUCCCAAGGGUUGGGCUGUUCGCCCAUGAAAGCGGUACGCGAGCUGGGUUCAGAACGUCGUGAGACAGUUCGGUCCAUAUCCGGUGUAGGCGUUAGAAUAUUGAGAGGAGCCUUCUUUAGUACGAGAGGACCGAGAAGGACAUACCUCUGGUGUACCAGUUAUCGUGCCAACGGUAAACGCUGGGUAGCUAUGUAUGGAGUGGAUAACCGCUGAAAGCAUCUAAGUGGGAAGCCCACCUCAAGAUAAGUAUUCUCAC
RNAcentral lists this ribosomal RNA (1243 nucleotides) under metagenome. RNAcentral's name for it is "bacterial LSU rRNA". It matches the Rfam family "Bacterial large subunit ribosomal RNA", at positions 1564 to 2817 of the family's 2925-position model. The record is from RNAcentral.